Non-coding RNA from Caerostris darwini, 95 nucleotides. The record is from the annotation of a GenBank genome assembly. Lineage: Eukaryota; Metazoa; Arthropoda; Arachnida; Araneae; Araneidae.
AUUCCAUACUGAAUAUACCGGUUCUCCGAAGUUAAGCAUUAUUGGGCGCGGUCAGUACUUGGGUGGGUGACCACCUGGGAACACUGCGUGCCGUU